Molecule: long non-coding RNA, 1595 nt
Organism: Drosophila mojavensis
Lineage: Eukaryota; Metazoa; Arthropoda; Insecta; Diptera; Drosophilidae
Exons: 2
Source: RefSeq, a predicted model, not a curated record
CAGCAUCUGUGGGGAUAAACGCAAUGGAAUAUAAUUUGAAAUUUAAAUACCUAAGAAGUUGGACAAAGUCUGACAAAGACUUAAUAACUUAGAACACUUAUAUUCAAUAUAAUUUUUUUUUAUAAAAAUUUUUUUUUAAGUUACCAGAGUAAAAAAUAUUGGGAAUCUAAAGAGAACCAUAAAAUUUCUUCCUUUAAAUCUUUGAAAAUCAGAUUUUAUAUUCUUUUACAUUGAACUGGAAUAUAUUGGCUUUCAUUUACAUUACAUUUGCUCGUCCGUCUUAUUUGAGUCUAAGGGAUUGAAAUUUGUAUGUACCCUUGUCUUAUAAAGUGUAAGGAUUUUCACGAUACGUCCACUGGAAUAUCCUCUAAGUAUUUCUUCCAAAUAUUUCUUGUAAGUAUUUCCUCUAAGAAUUUCUUCUAAUUAUUUCCUCUAUGUAUUUCCUUCUAAGUAUUUUUUCCAAGCAUAUCCCCUACGUAUUUCCUCUAAGAUUGUUCUCUUACAAUAUCGUCUAAGUUUUUCCAAAUAUUUCCUCUAAGCAUUUCUUCUAAAUAUUUCCUCUAAGUAUUUCUUCCAAGUAUCUUUGAAUUUCCUCUGUUUUAGAUGCUCAGCUGGACGACAUUAGGCCUGGGUGAAUGAAGAAAUGCUGCAGCUGCCGUUUAUAUAGGGCUACUUGCACUCAAAGCCUAAGUCACUCUCAAAUGUUGAGCCCGGUGCCAGGUAGGGGCUGUUACGGUCGAGCUUCAAGUGAGCAUUGCUUCUAGCUUUGUUUUACUAAAAUAUAAAUACCAAAUGACUACUGUAUACAAAUAGACAACUUAAGUAAUACGUACUAUAUAUUAUGUAGCCUUUCUUCGUGGUUGUGUUCCACAACAAAAUUGACUUUUCAUAGCAAUACUGAAUAGCAGUAUAUAUAAAUAAUAUUUGGACUCGGUUUUUAACUUUAAACAGCUGCAACUUUUCUGAAUGAGCAACAUUAUAUUUAAAAAUUUAUAAAAUUAAUUAUUUUAAAUAAUUAAUGACAUGUCAUCAUUUUGAAAAUACUUUUUACUGCACAUUUGAAUUUUUAAAAUCAGCCUAAAAACUGAAUAAAAGCUAAAUACGAUUUGUUAACACUCUUCUAUUCGGCUUAAAUUAAAUGUGGAAAUUUCGACUCCUAUGAGGCUAAAAAGUUCUUAUCCUAAAGUGUUAACAAUAAAGUUGAUAAUCAGUUCUCCCAGUGGCGCAUGGCUUGUUUGAAGAGGGCUUUGUGCAGGCCGCUGAAGUUGCCGUCGAUCUCGUAGGGGAUGACACCGUAAUCCCAAAUGCGCUCCUUUUUGGCGGUUACAGCACGCGCCACGCGAUUGCGAUGCUGCGGCCGCUUCAGGUUGCUGUGCAAGGCGACAAUGUGCAUGAGGGGGAGAGAGAAGGCGAGAGGGCGGUAAGAGAGAAUGAGUUGUGGUCAUAUUAAAAAAUUUUGCGCAGCAGUUGUGGACCAUUCAAACAAGAGUUGGUUAUGCAUGUCGUAUGUGUAAUUUUAAUUGCCGCCAGUUAUCCAAAAAUGUUGGCUGAAACUUUUUGGCACGCGGAUUUCUAUUAAAAUUCAUAACUUUCAA